GCUAAAUAUAGGGAAAUCUGUGCAACACUAUCCAGAAGCCAUCCUGCAUGACUUGCACCACGGCUCUACUACUCCGUCAACACUUCCGAUAACAUGAUUUUCUUUUUUUUACCAGUCCGAUCCUAGCUACUUUGAUUACAGUCUUCAAUUGUUUUGGUGCCACAUCCUCCCUCUCUGGCUUCUCUCCCCUCUCAGCAGCAGUGUUCUGCAGUAAAUGGCCAUGUUGUUUUAUGGGCAAUUUAGCAGAUGAACAUCAACGCAGCAGGAGGGAAAUAAGCCUAGCAGGAGAGUAUAAGUAUUUCUUACUUUUGGUGUCAAGCUGUGCACGAUACUUCUCAAAUCCUUUGAGCCGAACACGUUCUCCCAAGAGCUGAAGGAAUUCCUCAAACGCCGGGCCGGCAGAUUCAUUGUUGUACAUCUCUUCUUCAGUGCUCUGCCCAGCUCUGCAGUACAUGACGCCCACCUUCUGCUGAUAGUUCAGCUGGGAAGAGAGGCAGUACAGGGCACGUAAAUGUAGGCAGGUCCACCAUGCCCCAUUUUGAUGCUCCUAACACCUGUAGGGCACAGGCCCAUCAGAAAGCUAAUGUUUCUCUUCUCUUGAAAUCCUUCUGUUUUAAUUCUUCUGUCUCUAAUCCAAAAAAUACAGCAGAACGAGCAUUUAUACCUGUCAUCUUCACAAGUUAAGAGAAAGGGCCAGGAAAAUGAAUUAACACUUUCUGUACGACAAGAUCAUGCACCCUUAGAAGGGAGGUUGGUACUUCAGGGAAUUUCUCUGAAUGGAUUACAGGGUACAAAAUGAGACUCUAAAAAACAGCUUGACAACAAAAGGUAGUGCUUUUUUAAUCAUCCCCCCCUUUAGAAAAGGGGAAGUCUUUAUAAAUUUAAAAGCAGAGGUUCACUUUACAAAAGAUACUUCAAAAUAAAUAUUGUUUCACACUAAAAAGCCCAUAAAUGUACUGGCGAAUUUUUAGGUUUUUUUGUCAUUGUUGUUGUUGUUGUUGUUUUGGUUUGGUGUUUUGUUUUUUUUUUUUUUUUUUGAAAAAAGAAGACAUAAAAAUCUCUGAAACAUCAGGAACAGACUGCAAGCUGUCCACCAAUGUAAUAAUGUCUAUAAAUACAAAACUAUAUAAAUUAUCUAUUUCUGUAAAUGAAACUAACCGUAACUUAGUAAAAUCCAUAAAGAAACUAUUACAAAUCAAGAAUAAAAGUAAAAUGCCAGACAUGGCCAUUAUGUCACACACAAAAUCUGCCUCUUCCAGCAAGCCUACAAUUCCUGCCCGGGGGCCCCCACGCCCAAAGAUAAACCAACUCCGGGAUUCAGAGGACAGGGCUAAUCUAAAUAUUUCAUUUUCUAGAUAUCUGAAAAGCUAGUCUGAUUUUAAGAUUCAAAACCUGUAGACCAUGAAAACUAAAUGCUUA
RNAcentral lists this long non-coding RNA (1419 nucleotides) under Mustela putorius furo (domestic ferret). RNAcentral describes it as "lncRNA (ENSMPUG00000028412.1)". The record is from RNAcentral. Lineage: Eukaryota; Metazoa; Chordata; Mammalia; Carnivora; Mustelidae.